UACAGAGGUCUCAAGCGUUGUUCGGAUUCAUUGGGCGUAAAGGGUGCGUAGGCGGCGCGGUAAGUCGGGUGUGAAAUCUCGGAGCUUAACUCCGAAACUGCAUUCGAUACUGCCGUGCUUGAGGACUGGAGAGGAGACUGGAAUUUACGGUGUAGCGGUGAAAUGCGUAGAGAUGUGGAGGAACACCGAUGGCGAAGGCAGCCUCCUGGGCCAGCACUGACGCUCAUGCACGAAAGCGUGGGGAGCAAACAGG
This 253-nucleotide ribosomal RNA is filed under the name uncultured bacterium. Its description in RNAcentral is "partial 16S ribosomal RNA". It matches the Rfam family "Bacterial small subunit ribosomal RNA", at positions 524 to 776 of the family's 1533-position model. The record is from RNAcentral.